GAAUAUACAGGAUGAAGAGGCUCCAGGUUGUGUCUGUGGCCUCUGGACGUUACGGGAACUGUCCCUCCCUGACCGGUGGGGUCCGGGCUUAUGUGGAUGGGUGACCCAGGACCUCGGGGGCUGGGCAAGGUGCUGUGGAGCAGCAGGGCAGCACUGAGAGCCACUUCCCUUGACUGAGUGGACAAGGGGCAGCCUCCCUUUCUGCCUCCUACAGCACACAGCUGCCAGCCCUGUCCCACCCCUCAGACCUUAGCUCUGCCCAUAACUGCUGCUCCAGUGACUUUCCAAAGAUGCUGUCAUUCCCUCUAGAUGAGAGCAGAUCAGAGUCACUCUCCUAACUGUCCUGGGCCCACACAUGUCCUGAUCCUUCUCCCUUCUCACUUCCAGGUGGCUGUCAUUGUCUUUUCCUAUGGGUUCUUGCCUUGUGCCAGGCUUCUCCUGGAUCUGGAGGUGGUCAGGGCCAGACAGGAAGAAGGAAAGGCGAGAUUGGUCAGCUCUUUAGACAGUGUUGAAAAUGUGCCUCCUGGAGACAGCUCUGGACAGCUCUUCACAGGAGGUCAGGCCAUGCCUCGGGGCUGAGGCAGGAGCAUGGCCUUCACCACCAGGCUUUGCCUCCCGAGGCCUCUGCACAUGUGAGUCUGGGCUGUGUGGUGCCCUGCUUGCCCCUCUAUCCUUCUACCUCACCACAUCUCUUUCUCUGAGGACAUUUGCUUGGUUUCUCUGAGUUCCAACAGUCCUUCAGACAGUUGGGGGAGGAAAGAAGAGGAGAGACUGUGUCCCUGUCUCCCUUGGCCUUUGCCUUGGCUCCUCUUGCUGUCUGGUUCUUGUUGUCAACCUGCUUGGCCAACUGGAGGCUACUGAAUUCUGUCACAUGUCAGGCCACAGAUGCCCUCUGCCCACCAAAUAAAAAAAGGAAGUGCUGGGGAGAUGGCUCAGUGGUUAACGCUGCUUGCUCCCUUCUCAGGGCCAGAUCUCAGGCCCCCCAACCCCCUGUGAUAUGCCCAGCAUUCCUGCCAACUUCCAACUCCUGGAAUCCCAAGUGUGGAGGGGUGGAGACAGGAGGAUAUCUGGGACUUGCCUGCUUUUAGCCUAGUAGAGAUGUGAACCCAGGGCUCAGGAAGAAACCCUGCUUUAAGGGACAAUGCAGAGUGACUGAGGAGGAUG
RNAcentral lists this long non-coding RNA (1164 nucleotides) under Rattus norvegicus (Norway rat). RNAcentral describes it as "long non-coding RNA NONRATT022312". Lineage: Eukaryota; Metazoa; Chordata; Mammalia; Rodentia; Muridae. The record is from RNAcentral.